CAACCCUCGAACCCCUCCGGGGGGUCGGCGUUGGGGAUCGGCCUCCCUCACCGGGGGCCGUCUCCGAAAUACAGUGGCGGUCUCGCCGCAGCCUCUCCUGCGCAGUAGUUUGCACACUCGCAUCGGGAGCGCGGCGCGUCCACAGCCGUUAAACACCCCAAACUUCUGAAA
This 171-nucleotide unclassified non-coding RNA is filed under the name uncultured Trichoderma. RNAcentral's name for it is "sequence contains ITS2". The record is from RNAcentral. Lineage: Eukaryota; Fungi; Ascomycota; Sordariomycetes; Hypocreales; Hypocreaceae.